This 253-nucleotide ribosomal RNA is filed under the name uncultured bacterium. RNAcentral describes it as "partial 16S ribosomal RNA". It matches the Rfam family "Bacterial small subunit ribosomal RNA", at positions 524 to 776 of the family's 1533-position model. The record is from RNAcentral.
UACGUAGGGGGCAAGCGUUGUCCGGAUUUAUUGGGCGUAAAGAGCUCGUAGGCGGUCUGUCACGUCGGCUGUGAAAACCCGAGGCUCAACCUCGGGCCUGCAGUCGAUACGGGCAAACUAGAGUACUGCAGGGGAGACUGGAAUUCCUGGUGUAGCGGUGAAAUGCGCAGAUAUCAGGAGGAACACCGGUGGCGAAGGCGGGUCUCUGGGCAGUAACUGACGCUGAGGAGCGAAAGCGUGGGGAGCGAACAGG